RNAcentral lists this ribosomal RNA (301 nucleotides) under uncultured bacterium. RNAcentral's name for it is "partial 16S ribosomal RNA". It matches the Rfam family "Bacterial small subunit ribosomal RNA", at positions 509 to 809 of the family's 1533-position model. The record is from RNAcentral.
CAGCAGCCGCGGUAAUACAGAGGGUGCGAGCGUUAAUCGGAUUUACUGGGCGUAAAGCGUGCGUAGGCGGUUACUCAAGUCAGAGGUGAAAGCCCGGGGCUCAACCCCGGAACUGCCUUUGAAACUAGGUGACUAGAAUCUUGGAGAGGUCAGUGGAAUUCCGAGUGUAGAGGUGAAAUUCGUAGAUAUUCGGAAGAACACCAGUGGCGAAGGCGACUGACUGGACAAGUAUUGACGCUGAGGUGCGAAAGCGUGGGGAGCAAACAGGAUUAGAUACCCCUGUAGUCCCUGUCUCUUAUAA